UGGCUCAGGAUGACGCUGGCGGCGUGCCUAAUACAUGCAAGUCGAACGAGAGUGCUUGCACUCGAGUGGCGAACGGGUGAGUAACACGUAGGUAACCUGCCUUACAGUUUGGGAUACCCGAGGGAAACCUUGGCUAAUACCGGAUAAUUCUUUUGGAGGCAUCUCCAGAAGCUAAAAGGGGCCUUUAAAGCCUCGCUGAAUGAUGGACCUGCUGCGCAUUAGCUAGUUGGUGAGAUAACAGCCCACCAAGGCGAGGAUGCGUAGCCGACCUAAGAGGGUGAACGGCCACACUGGAACUGAGACACGGUCCAGACUCCUACGGGAGGCAGCAGUAGGGAGUUUUCGGCAAUGGGGGAAACCCUGACCGAGCAACGCCGCGUGAAACGAUGAAGGUCUUCGGAUUGUAAAGUUCUGUUAUAAGGGAAGAAUGAUAGCUUGAGGAAAUGCUAGUUAUUUGACGGUACCUUAUUAGAAAGCCACGGCUAACUACGUGCCAGCCGCCGC
This 504-nucleotide ribosomal RNA is filed under the name uncultured bacterium. RNAcentral describes it as "bacterial SSU rRNA". It matches the Rfam family "Bacterial small subunit ribosomal RNA", at positions 20 to 518 of the family's 1533-position model. The record is from RNAcentral.